AUUGAACGCUGGCGGCAGGCCUAACACAUGCAAGUCGAGCGGAUGAGAGGAGCUUGCUCCUCGAUUCAGCGGCGGACGGGUGAGUAAUGCCUAGGAAUCUGCCUAUUAGUGGGGGACAACAUCUCGAAAGGGAUGCUAAUACCGCAUACGUCCUACGGGAGAAAGCAGGGGAUCACUUGUGACCUUGCGCUAAUAGAUGAGCCUAAGUCGGAUUAGCUAGUUGGUGGGGUAAAGGCCUACCAAGGCGACGAUCUGUAGCGGGUCUGAGAGGAGGAUCCGCCACACUGGGACUGAGACACGGUCCAGACUCCUACGGGAGGCAGCAGUGGGGAAUUUUGGACAAUGGGCGAAAGCCUGAUCCAGCCAUUCCGCGUGCAGGAUGAAGGCCCUCGGGUUGUAAACUGCUUUUGUACAGAACGAAAAGGUUUCUACUAAUACUAGGAGCUCAUGACGGUACUGUAAGAAUAAGCACCGGCUAACUACGUGCCAGCCGCCGCCGUAA
This 502-nucleotide ribosomal RNA is filed under the name uncultured bacterium. Its description in RNAcentral is "partial 16S ribosomal RNA". It matches the Rfam family "Bacterial small subunit ribosomal RNA", at positions 30 to 523 of the family's 1533-position model. The record is from RNAcentral.